GGGAUGGUAGCUCAGUGGAAGAACAUCUGCUUGGCAAUCAGAAGGCCCCAAGUUCAAUACCCACUCCCCA
Molecule: transfer RNA, 70 nt
Filed under: Sphaerodactylus townsendi
Lineage: Eukaryota; Metazoa; Chordata; Lepidosauria; Squamata; Sphaerodactylidae
Description: tRNA-Ala
Source: RNAcentral